Molecule: RNA transcript, 2823 nt
Organism: Helianthus annuus (common sunflower)
Lineage: Eukaryota; Viridiplantae; Streptophyta; Magnoliopsida; Asterales; Asteraceae
Gene name: ALA-interacting subunit 1
Exons: 14
Source: RefSeq, a predicted model, not a curated record
UUUCUCUUCCUCACUCUUCUCUGAAAAUCCUAUUCGUCUUCCCUUAUUCAAUCCAGCCUCCAUCUUUCUAUACACGCUAAUCCUUACCCCCUCCAUUUUUCAUAUAAAAACCCUAAAAUUAAUGGUUGAAUGGUUGCUCUUCAUUCUAUUUUCAUAUUCCAAGUGUUGCUUCUGACCUAAUUUCUUAUUCUAAUCAAGAUUUGUUUGUGUCCUUAAUGAAGUCGCAAAUCGAAUGGGUACAACCAUCUCUUUCUCUGCAUCCGGUGUAUGAAUCAAUUCUGUUAGAGAGCCUACCUUCUAUGGUUACACAACAAGAACUUCCGGCUUGCAAGCCAAUUCUUACCCCGAAAUGGGUGAUUUCGGCACUCAUGCUUGUGACAGUUGUCUUCAUACCUAUAGGAGUAGCUUCCCUUCUUGCUUCUCGUGAUGUAGUUGAAAUUAUUGACCGGUACGAUAAUGCCUGCCUACAAGGCACAAAAAGUCAAAAGGUUCAAUCUAUACAAGACCCAACAACAAGCAAAACCUGCAUUAGAAGAUUGACAGUCACAAAGAGAAUGAAGCAACCUAUUUAUGUCUGCUAUCAGCUUGACAAUUACUAUCAGAAUCAUCGCAGGUAUGUCAAGAGCCGACGUGAUCAGCAAUUGAGAAACCGUGGCGAUGAGAAUGAAACGAGUACGUGUAAGCCUGAACAUGAAGCAAAUGGGGUCUAUUCAACUGAUAACAACCUUCUGUGGUUGCUGGGUUCUAUUCAACUGAUAACAACUUGCAGCUGGAUGCAACUACUCAAUUUCAUAAAUUGCUCUCAAUUGAACGGAGUCCUCCAAUCGAGGAAGUCAUACAAUCUGGUGUCGUACCUCGCUUUCUCGAGUUCUUGAUGAGAGAAGAUUUCCCACAGCUCUAGUUUGAAGCUGCUUGGGCACUCACAAACAUUACUUCUGGUACCUCUGAGAACACAAAGGUUGUUAUCGAUCACGGGGCGGUCCCUAUUUUCGUUAAGCUGUUAUUUGGUCUUAAAAAUAACGGCCUUCGUUCGGAAUGCCACUCAUAUAUGAUGAAAGAGAAACAACCCUUUCUUUUUGGUCCGGAGCAAGAAUAAGGGGUGCCAAGGUUAAUUUCACAUUUGACGAGUCAUCUCUUAAAGCAGUAUCCGUAUACCACUUUGCGAUUAGAGGCUGUUGAAGGGAGAUGAUGGCAUACAAGAGCCUGUCGAUCAGAUCAGUUUGAAUAGUCAACAUGAACCUGAUGGCUGAAGCGGCUAUUGAUAAACAAAAGCCAAGAGUACAAACAAUAGAUGCUUUGGUUGACAAGUCAACUCUGGGUGGGACGGCUGACAUCGCUCCGACGUUGAGACAUGGCCUCCAUUCAUGGCGAUUUUUAUUGUUUCGUCUAGCAAUGUAUGUUUCCUUUGAUCUUUGGUCUUCGCUUUGUUUUUUCAUUGCAACAGUAAUUUUAUGUGAUCGUGAUUUUGAUUUUGUUUUCUAAAUGAAAACCGUUUCGCUAAAAAGGGUUACAAGUAAGAUCAUCCUAACUCCUAAGUAUAUGAUUAAUGUAUGCAAUUAUGCCCACUUACAGUACCUAUUUACUUUGGGUUAUGAUUAGUUAAAAUUUCCAUAGUGCACAAUUACAUUUAUUCCCAUCAUUCUUCUGCAAUAUAUCACAGUUCAUGUUAAAAGAGAACUUAUCUUUUAAUUUACACAUCGUAGCUCACUGUACUUCAUGUACGCCUACUAACUUUGUUGAAUGUUUGGCUAGGAUCGAAAGUAAUGUUUACAAAAAAAAAAAAGUUGAAAUUUGGAUUGGUUUCAGCUAUUGGCACUAUUAUGGGUUGAAGUGGAAUUUGGUUCAAGUAAUUCUGAAUAGAGUGUGUGUAUAUAUAGAUGUAUAUGUACAAACAUUUUUUGUAUAAAAAAUUAAAUGAAAAAAUAGGCCCUAAAAACUAUAAUCUCAACAUGAUUUGUAUACUUGGCAGGGAAUUUGGUUGUAUCAAGUACACUGCAUGUUUAUUUUUACGAUUUCAGGUUCAAUCCUAACAUUGGUUUGAGGCUUAAACUUUUUUACAAUCAUAUUUCACUAUGCCAACGAAUGAGUUAGUUGACGUAAUAGCACCAUCCAACUAUAGCUGGAUUUGGGUAGUGUAGGUGGUAGUGCAUCGGUUACGACGACUACGGUUAUUUGUUAACUUGAAAAUCAAGUUGCGACAGCAACACAUUACGGAAGAAACAAGAGAUAAUUGCCAUCAAAGAUUCAAGGGGUAGUUAUUAACAUGGUCGUUGUUGCAUGUUAGCCACCAACCAGACACAAGCAGACCCCAUAUGACCUUUUAGUUAUGGUUCAAUUGAUGGUAACCCGGUACUCAUUGUUUGUUGGCCUUGCUGGCUACAGAGUGUGCUCGAGCCGAGUUAUGUGAAAAAAAAAGAGCUAGGAAUGCUAUGUUGUUUUUCCACAAUAUACUACUUGAAAGAGUACAAACAAUACAAGUUGGAUGGGUUGGCUAACGUGUCAACUGUCAACACGAGUUCAGGUACCCAUGAAGAGGAUUCUUUUCCCUACAAUGGGCUACUGUGUUGAGGCUAAUACUGCACAACCUCCACCACUUCCCCCUCUUAAAGAAAACUUAUUUUGGUGGUUUGAAAGAUGAAGACCACAUACCACAUAUUUACGAACCUUUAUGGUAUACAUGACACAUUUCUCAAAGGGGCCAUGAAGCGUGGUGAUUUGUAUAGAACUAAAGAUUUAGUGAUCAAGGGUUCCGAUUGGAUUUCUUGCUAUAUAAGUGAUAGAACUAAGAUGCAUAUCAUUAUAAAAAGUCAUUUGCGGAGCACA